GACGAACGCUGGCGGCGUGCUUAACACAUGCAAGUCGAACGCUGAAGCUCAGCUUUUGUUGGGUGGAUGAGUGGCGAACGGGUGAGUAACACGUGAGUAACCUGCCCCCUUCUUUGGGAUAACGCCCGGAAACGGGUGCUAAUACUGGAUAUUCACUGGUCUUCGCAUGGGGGUUGGUGGAAAGGGUUUUUCUGGUGGGGGAUGGGCUCGCGGCCUAUCAGCUUGUUGGUGGGGUGAUGGCCUACCAAGGCUUUGACGGGUAGCCGGGCUGAGAGGGUGACCGGGCACAGUGGGACUGAGAUACGGCCCAGACUCCUACGGGAGGCAGAAGUGGGGAAUAUUGCACAAUGGGCGCAAGCCUGAUGCAGCGACGCCGCGUGAGGGAUGGAGGCCUUCGGGUUGUGAACCUCUUUCGCUAAUGGUCAAGCCGCAACAAUGGUUGUGGUGAGGGUAGUGGGUAAAGAAGCGCCGGCUAACUACGUG
RNAcentral lists this ribosomal RNA (483 nucleotides) under uncultured bacterium. Its description in RNAcentral is "partial 16S ribosomal RNA". It matches the Rfam family "Bacterial small subunit ribosomal RNA", at positions 28 to 507 of the family's 1533-position model. The record is from RNAcentral.